Molecule: ribosomal RNA, 253 nt
Filed under: uncultured bacterium
Lineage: Bacteria
Description: partial 16S ribosomal RNA
Rfam family: Bacterial small subunit ribosomal RNA
Source: RNAcentral
GACGUAGGGCGCGAGCGUUGUCCGGAUUUAUUGGGCGUAAAGAGCUUGUAGGUGGUUUGUCGCGUUGUUCGUGAAAUCUCACGGCUCAACUGUGAGCGUGCGGGCGAUACGGGCAGACUAGAGUGCUGCAGGGGAGACUGGAAUUCCUGGUGUAGCGGUGGAAUGCGCAGAUAUCAGGAGGAACACCGGUGGCGAAGGCGGGUCUCUGGGCAGUAACUGACGCUGAGAAGCGAAAGCGUGGGGAGCGAACAGG